UAAUGUGCAAAAUGAGUUUGUAUUGCUCCAGUUGUUAAGGGUGGUGUUUUGCUUCCAGUUUCGUAGUCUGACUUUCCAUUGGUUUGUAGGAGUUUAAUAACUUGAAACGUUAUAUUUGUGAGAUAUUAUUGUGAGCUCAUGUUUUUUACAAGAAUAGUAGAUCCAUUUGAACGAGUCGUUAGAUUCCUCGUCAGCUACUCAAUCUUUCACCAGUCUUCUCCAUUUUGUCGAAAGCUCUGACAGUAGUCUAAUUCAAGAAAUUCAUGUACAGACCUCUUAAACAGAACAUCCCGUAGUUGGAUGGAAGAUUCGAACAAACACCAAUUUGGAAUCUAAGUGUAAAAACUUCUAAGAUUUUACAGCCGAAUUCCGAAUAAGAAGACAUCACCAGGAAAGUUACAUCUUCUAAUUACCUAACCAUCCCGAAGUCCGGAACUUUUCCCCGUGAUAAUGCCUAGUGUUUAUAAAAGUAUUAAAAAAAGUCUCUACAUUAUUCUGCUAGAACUGUCUAUAUCAAUCCAGUCUACUCAAGAUGACCCUAGUGACGUCUCCCAUCCUUUCAUUCAGAAGCAUGCUCAGAUUUUUGUUUCCCAGUAGUUUGAUACUUCACUUCUUAUUAUCAGAGCCAGCAAUCUCCUGCCCUGAAGAUAUGACCAUUGUGACAUCACCAUCCUUUCAUUCGGGAAAAGGUUAUGUUCUUGAGAUUUUUGUUUUCCAGUAAUUUUACCCUUAUGUAAAGUCUUCCUGGUUUCAGAAAUAUGUGUCAAUUUAGAACUGGCCCAAUCAAUAUAAAUUAAAAACCUGUAUAAACAUGCUACUCAAACUUAUCAGAAUAUUUUGUAUCAUAUUAUCUCAAUUUUUAAUGGUUCUAAACUUAGUUAUCAAAUUAAGUAUAGCAACUUUUUUAUUCCUAACAGAACAAUUAAACUCAUUAAGUAGUGUAAAACCUAUACGUCGUUAAUUAUUCUUUCUAGAUUUCUUAAUUUUUCUAUAUUUAAAUAUUUUCCAUACAAAUCAAUGUUGAACUCUGAACGACUACUUUGUACUCUGUUUAUUUUAAAACAAAAUUUAAAAUCUCUUAAAUAUUAAUAUCAUUAACUUAUGUUAAUCAUGAAAUUAUUAGAGUAAAUUUUUGCUGUAAAUUCAAACCUUAAAAUUCUUUCUCAGUAAAAUUGUUUUAAAUGCUUAACCCUGAAACCUAUAUAAAAUUAAACAAGAUUUAUUAUCGUAUGGUUAAACUUUUUAAAUUCGAAAUAAAUUUUAUACGCCCUCUUAAACCAAAUCUCAUAGCUGCUGCAACUUUUAGUUUACAUUUAGAAAGUAAACUCAACCAAAACUUUUAUUUUCCCUUCGAUUAAACCUUUUUUGAUUUAUUGGUGUCAGUUUUCUCUACAUUUCAUGGAUCUAGAGUUGUUGGGAACCUUUGUCUUAAUGAAACAACGUAUUGAAUCUAACUUUGUUUGCCUGUAACAGUAAAGGUUAACGUUGGGUCAGGAAGAGAAGAAAAAUUUAUUCCCAAAAUUAUUAUCUCAACUUAAAUUGAUAAAAUGGCCCUUAUAAACGGUUCAACUAAAACAAAUGUGGUAUAUAAAUUUCAAAAUGGAACACUUAAAUUGCGAGUUGUUUUGCCUGUUGCAUUAUGAUUAUACAAUAAUUAGGGAUCUAACCGUUCUGAUUUUGUUAAAUUAGACAUUCAAUAGUACUUGACAGACAGUAGACAUUCUUAAAAAUUUGUAUUCGUACUUGUAUAACUAAAUUGUUUUAGAGUGAGUCAUAAAAUUAUCCUUACAUAAAAGCGUUUAGCAAGGAAAGGAGAAUGUACAUUUUUGCAUUCAAACUGCAUAACUGAGAGUAAAAUUUGAAAGUGCAUAGAACUUGUACGUUAUAAAUUUUUUAAGGAGUAUGAAAAUUACGAUUAUCUCAGUUUCUUUUCACUAGAGUAGUUAAAUCAUUUUAGUUUUUUACUGAAUUUGAUUUUUUCAAUUUUUCUAGAGUCCUAAAGUUUGCAGAGGUGAAAAUAUUGUCCGUUAAAUCAGUCUUAAAAUUUUUACAUUACACUAGAUUUCCGAAUCAUUUAUUUGAUAAGUUUUUACAAAUAGUUAUCGUGAAUAUUUCUAAUCAAACUGAUAUUUAAUCCGGAUAAAUUUUUUACUAGAAAAAAAUAGUUUAAUCUUAUACUCUGAGACAAAUACUUUCUUUUGUAGCGAAAUUCCUCAAAACAUUAUCCACUAUUGCCUACAC
This is a long non-coding RNA of Parasteatoda tepidariorum (common house spider), 2241 nucleotides long. The record is from RefSeq and is a predicted model, not a curated record. NCBI's taxonomy places the organism in Eukaryota, Metazoa, Arthropoda, Arachnida, Araneae, Theridiidae.